UACAGAGACUGCAAGCGUUAUUCGGAUUCACUGGGCGUAAAGGGUGCGCAGGUGGUUGUGUGUGUCAGAUGUGAAAUCCCGGGGCUUAACCCCGGAACUGCGUCUGAAACUGCAUGACUAGAGCAUUGGAGAGGGAAGUGGAAUUCAUGGUGUAGCAGUGAAAUGCGUAGAUAUCAUGAGGAACACCAGAGGCGAAGGCGACUUCCUGGACAAUUGCUGACACUCAGGCACGAAAGCAUGGGGAGCAAACAGG
This 253-nucleotide ribosomal RNA is filed under the name uncultured bacterium. Its description in RNAcentral is "partial 16S ribosomal RNA". It matches the Rfam family "Bacterial small subunit ribosomal RNA", at positions 524 to 776 of the family's 1533-position model. The record is from RNAcentral.